RNAcentral lists this unclassified non-coding RNA (245 nucleotides) under fungal sp. RNAcentral describes it as "partial internal transcribed spacer region". The stretch from base 1 to 46 matches the Rfam family "Eukaryotic small subunit ribosomal RNA", at positions 1786 to 1831 of the family's 1831-position model. Lineage: Eukaryota; Fungi. The record is from RNAcentral.
AAGUCGUAACAAGGUUUCCGUAGGUGAACCUGCGGAAGGAUCAUUAAUAGAUUGCUUGCCAGUCAAAAACUUACCCUGUGUGAACUGUUCCAUCGCCGUGGUGAGCUACCGGGGUGUUAACUUGUCAGUCACGGGAACGUGACUGUAAGAGAACACGUAGUCACCACUUUACCUUACUGAAUAUUACACUUACUGAAGUUGAACCAAAGUCUAGAAAACUUUUAGCAAUGGAUCUCUAGGCUCUU